CAGAGUGGUCCAGUGGGUGAACACAUUGAUGACCAGGAGAGAAAACCAGGCGAUAAAUCUUUAGAAUCAUCCAAAACUAAUGACAACGAAACCACAGAUGGUUACACGAGUGGAAACAAGAAGAAGCCGAGUCAGACAGAAACUGAGACGCUGCUUGAGACACUUCACCUUCAAGAUAAAGUUCAACAGAAGUUGUCACCAGCAAAUUUUCUUCAAAUACAUGUACCUGGGAAACACAUGGAC
Oreochromis niloticus (Nile tilapia) is the source of this 243-nucleotide long non-coding RNA. RefSeq lists it as uncharacterized. Lineage: Eukaryota; Metazoa; Chordata; Actinopteri; Cichliformes; Cichlidae. The record is from RefSeq and is a predicted model, not a curated record. The transcript has 3 exons.